RNAcentral lists this ribosomal RNA (481 nucleotides) under uncultured bacterium. Its description in RNAcentral is "SSU rRNA". It matches the Rfam family "Bacterial small subunit ribosomal RNA", at positions 26 to 518 of the family's 1533-position model. The record is from RNAcentral.
AGGACGAACGCUGGCGGCGUGCUUAACACAUGCAAGUCACGGGGGCCCGCAAGGGUAACCGGCGAACGGGUGCGUAACACGUGAGCAACCUGCCUAGAUGUGGGGGAUAGCCGGCCCAACGGCCGGGUAAUACCGCAUACGGUCACGAGGAGGAGUCUCCUUGUGAAGAAACCUCCGGGGCAUUUAGAGGGGCUCGCGGCCUAUCAGCUAGUUGGCGGGGUAACGGCCCACCAAGCCUUCGAUCAGUAACUGGUGUGAGAGCACGACCAGUCACACGGGCACUGAGACACGGGCCCGACUCCUACGGGAGGCAGCAGUAAGGAUAUUGGUCAAUGGACGCAAGUCUGAACCAGCCAUGCCGCGUGAAGGAUGAAGGCCCUCUGGGUUGUAAACUUCUUUUAUCUGGGACGAAAAAGGGUUUUCUAACUCACUUGACGGUACCAGAGGAAUAAGCACCGGCUAACUCCGUGCCAGCAGCCGC